RNAcentral lists this ribosomal RNA (247 nucleotides) under Pseudomonas aeruginosa. Its description in RNAcentral is "partial 23S ribosomal RNA". It matches the Rfam family "Bacterial large subunit ribosomal RNA", at positions 2708 to 2925 of the family's 2925-position model. The record is from RNAcentral. Lineage: Bacteria; Pseudomonadati; Pseudomonadota; Gammaproteobacteria; Pseudomonadales; Pseudomonadaceae.
UCUGGUGUUCCGGUUGUCACGCCUUGUCACGCCAGUGGCAUUGCCGGGUAGCUAUGUUCGGAAAAGAUAACCGCUGAAAGCAUCUAAGCGGGAAACUUGCCUCAAGAUGAGAUCUCACUGGGAACUUGAUUCCCCUGAAGGGCCGUCGAAGACUACGACGUUGAUAGGCUGGGUGUGUAAGCGUUGUGAGGCGUUGAGCUAACCAGUACUAAUUGCCCGUGAGGCUUGACCAUAUAACACCCAAACA